UUAGUUAUACUGUGUUUUAUGGUAUCUACUACUCGGAGAACCAUAGUAGUUCUAGAGAUAAUACGUGCAACAAACCCUAACUUCUGAAAGGGAUGUAUCUAUUAGAUAAAAGGUCAACGUCGGCUCUGCCCGUUGCUGCGAUGAUUCAUGAUAACUUGACGGAUCGCAUGGCCAACGUGUCGGCGACAUAUCACUCAAAUUUCUGC
This 206-nucleotide non-coding RNA is filed under the name Solanum lycopersicum (tomato). RNAcentral's name for it is "Eukaryotic small subunit ribosomal RNA". It matches the Rfam family "Eukaryotic small subunit ribosomal RNA", at positions 106 to 310 of the family's 1831-position model. The record is from Rfam by way of RNAcentral. Lineage: Eukaryota; Viridiplantae; Streptophyta; Magnoliopsida; Solanales; Solanaceae.